Non-coding RNA from Pelobates cultripes (western spadefoot toad), 283 nucleotides. NCBI's taxonomy places the organism in Eukaryota, Metazoa, Chordata, Amphibia, Anura, Pelobatidae. The record is from the annotation of a GenBank genome assembly.
GUAAAAAAACAUCUCCUAUUCCUCCCAUUCCGAGUCCUCUUUAAAUAGGGCUAAUCCCUAUGUCCAUUGGUGGUUCCGUGCGUGGUGUCCAUUAUCCAUCACUUGAUUGGUUCCGUGGGGGAGCUGUUCAGCUGUUUCCCAUCUUUCUCGCAUUGCUGUAAUCAAAAUUGGAUAACCGGAACCGGAAGUAAGGGUUGUACCGCACUUCCGCGUUCCACUUGCGUUCCACAUGCGUUCCACCGGCGACUCAUAUGCGUUCCACCUUCGUUCCACUUCAACAUUG